GCCUUAUUUCCUUCUCGGUUCUCUAACACAUGAGACUCCAUCAGGACAUGAGCAGUUUGCAACCUGGAAGAAGGAUCUCACCAGAGUGUGGACAUGCUGGCAUCCUGAUCUUAGACUGACAGUCUCCAGAACCAUAGGAAACAAAUUUAAGUUGUUUACAGACCACCGUAUUGAUGAUAUUUUAUUAUAGCAGCCUGUGUGGACUAAGACAGGAAUCCAAGAAGCUCAUUUGUAUACUGAUGCCUGGAAAGCAGUGAUUUAGUGGAUCCUGGAACAAGUUUGCAAAUGUGGAGAUCUACAUUGACCAACACUGCCUGUGACAAGAGGCUUGUGUGUAGCACGCGGGGCCCAGACAUGAUCUCUGCAGACUUUCCCCCAGUUUAUCCCUUUCUGCCUGCAAGCGAAGCUACAUUCAUCCCAAGGCCUGAAGAAGCAGGAUUUCUGUCCUGAGACAGAAUCACUCACCCAUCAUUGGCAACGGCUCCUGGAAUUGGCAUGAAGUGGGCCUUUUCACUUUAGUACCUUGGGGACCAGACACUUUUGUAUCUUUUCAACAGCAUUUGGCCUCAAGGACAGGAAUAGCAGGCAAAGACUUUUGAAAUAAAAAAGCUUUAUGUUAAGCCUUGACAAUGAUUCUUCUAGAUAGCAGCACAAAGAAAUGGAGAAAGCCUGGAUUAGGAGCUCAGUGACCGGAAGUCUUUGUUUAAGUUUUUCUGGAAUUCACUGCUGAAUGUUGGCUCUUUGGAAUUUGCAAUAUCAGAUGGUGGAGUAUUAAUAUCAAUACCGGAAAGUCCAACUCUACGACGUUUUAUCCCUCACUAGGAGCCAGCUAGAACUUGUAUCUCUUGAUAAAAAGUACUUAAAUAAACCCUGUUCUCAGUUUUUUCUCA
Ictidomys tridecemlineatus (thirteen-lined ground squirrel) is the source of this 890-nucleotide non-coding RNA. The record is from RefSeq and is a predicted model, not a curated record. Lineage: Eukaryota; Metazoa; Chordata; Mammalia; Rodentia; Sciuridae.